CCUACGGGUGGCAGCAGUGGGGAAUAUUGGGCAAUGGAGGCAACUCUGACCCAGCAACGCCGCGUGAAUGAUGAAGGUCUUCGGGUUGUAAAGUUCUGUGAUGGGGGAUGAACACAAUGACGGUACCCCAAUAGCACGCCACGGCUAACUACGUGCCAGCAGCCGCGGUACUACGUGGGUGGCGAGCGUUAUCCGGAAUGACUGGGCGUAAAGGGUGCGUAGGUGGUUUGGUAAGUUGGCGGUGUAAUUCCGGGGCUCAACCUGGGAGCUACAGCCAAAACUAGUAGACUAGAGUGCAGGAGGGGGAAGUGGAAUUCCUAGGGUAGCGGUGGAAUGCGUAGAGAUUAGGAGGAACAUCAGGGGCGAAGGCGACUCACUGGACGGUAACUGACGCUGAGGUACGAAAGCGUGGGGAGCAAACAGGAUUAGAUACCCUAGUAGUC
RNAcentral lists this ribosomal RNA (443 nucleotides) under uncultured bacterium. RNAcentral describes it as "partial 16S ribosomal RNA". It matches the Rfam family "Bacterial small subunit ribosomal RNA", at positions 338 to 795 of the family's 1533-position model. The record is from RNAcentral.